GUUGGUUAGGUAAUAGCUGACAAAGCCGAUGAUCCUUAGCUGGUUUUAGCGGAUGUCCAGCCACAUUAAAACUGAGAUAAGGUUUAAACUCUUUUUAGAGGCAGCAGUGAGGAAUUUUGAACAAUGAGCGCAAGCUUGAUUCAGCAAUAUAGAGUGAACGAUGACAGCUCUUUAGUUGUAAAGUUCUUUUGUUAAUAUAAGAUUAUGACUUUUAAUUAACGAAAAAGCCCUGGCAAAUUUCGUGCCAGCAGCCGCGGUGAGACGAAAAGGGCGAGUGUUAUUCGAAAUUACUGGGCGUAAAGGGUACGUAGGUUGCAUUUAUUGUUAAAUUAUAAAGCACAAUUUUCAAUGUUGUGAUAUAAAAAACAGAAUGCUAUGAGUUUUAAAAAGGACUUUAGAAUUUUAAAGGUAGAAAUAAAAUUCGUAGAUCUUUAAAGGAAUUUCUAUAGUGAAAACAAAAGUCUUGUUUCUUACUGACACUAAUGUACGAAAGCUUAGGUAGCAACCAGGAUUAGAUACCCUGUUAGUCUAAGCUGUAAACUAUGAAUACUCAUUUUUGGAUUUUUUCAGAAAUUUAGCUAACGCGUUAAGUAUUCCGCCUGAGAAGUACGUUGGCAACGAUGAAACUCAAAGGAAUUGACGGGGAUUUAUACCAUUUGCGGAAUAUGUGGUUUAAUUCGUAAAUACACGCAAAAACUUACCAAAUCUUGUAUGUUAGAUUUUCUAUUAUUGUUUAUGUGAUUUCUUUCACAGGUGCUGCAUGGCUGUCGUCAGCUCGUGUUGUGAAAUGUUAGGUUAAGUCCAUUUACGAGCGCAACCCUUGCUUUUUUGUUACCAUCUUAAAGAUUAGUUUUUUCUAAAAAAGCUUUUUUUUAGGUACUCAAAAAGAAUUGCUUAUGAUAUAUAAGAUGAAAGAAAGGAUGACGUCAAGUCUUCAUGGCCCUUAUGGUUUGGGCUACCCAUGUAUUACAAUGAUAAUUACAAAAAGUUGCACAAAUGAAAAUUUUAGCUAAUCUUCUAAACAUUAUCGUAGUUCGGAUUAUUUUCUGUAAGACGAAAAUAUGAAGUUGAAGUAAAUAGUAAUCGUUUAUCAGGAAGAAACGGUGAAUUUGUACUUAAAUCUUGUACAUACCGCCCGUCACAUCGAGGAAUUUU
RNAcentral lists this ribosomal RNA (1155 nucleotides) under Hanusia phi. RNAcentral's name for it is "partial Bacterial small subunit ribosomal RNA". It matches the Rfam family "Bacterial small subunit ribosomal RNA", at positions 248 to 1413 of the family's 1533-position model. Lineage: Eukaryota; Cryptophyceae; Pyrenomonadales; Geminigeraceae. The record is from RNAcentral.